This 72-nucleotide transfer RNA is filed under the name Cordylochernes scorpioides. Its description in RNAcentral is "tRNA-OTHER". The record is from RNAcentral. Lineage: Eukaryota; Metazoa; Arthropoda; Arachnida; Pseudoscorpiones; Chernetidae.
UGCCCAAACCCGGGAUCUAACCAUGGACCUUUAGAUAUCAGUCUAACGCUCUCCCAACUGAGCUAUUUCGGC